Molecule: ribosomal RNA, 425 nt
Filed under: uncultured bacterium
Lineage: Bacteria
Description: partial 16S ribosomal RNA
Rfam family: Bacterial small subunit ribosomal RNA
Source: RNAcentral
GUGGGGAAUAUUGCACAAUGGGGGAAACCCUGAUGCAGCGACGCCGCGUGAGUGAAGAAGUAUUUCGGUACGUAAAGCUCUAUCAGCAAGGAAGAAAAUGACGGUACUUGACUAAGAAGCCCCGGCUAACUACGUGCCAGCAGCCGCGGUAAUACGUAGGGGGCAAGCGUUAUCCGGAUUUACUGGGUGUAAAGGGAGCGUAGACGGUAUGGUAAGUCAGAUGUGAAAGCCCGGGGCUCAACCCCGGGACUGCAUUUGAAACUAUCAGACUAGAGUGCAGGAGAGGUAAGUGGAAUUCCUAGUGUAGCGGUGAAAUGCGUAGAUAUUAGGAAGAACACCAGUGGCGAAGGCGGCUUACUGGACUGUAACUGACGUUGAGGCUCGAAAGCGUGGGGAGCAAACAGGAUUAGAAACCCCUGUAGUCC